RNAcentral lists this ribosomal RNA (340 nucleotides) under uncultured bacterium. Its description in RNAcentral is "partial 16S ribosomal RNA". It matches the Rfam family "Bacterial small subunit ribosomal RNA", at positions 338 to 675 of the family's 1533-position model. The record is from RNAcentral.
CCUACGGGUGGCAGCAGUGAGGAAUAUUGGUCAAUGGGCGGAAGCCUGAACCAGCCAAGUAGCGUGCAGGAUGACGGCCCUACGGGUUGUAAACUGCUUUUAUACGGGAAUAACGCGCCUUACGUGUAGGGCUUUGCAUGUACCGUAUGAAUAAGGACCGGCUAAUUCCGUGCCAGCAGCCGCGGUAAUACGGAAGGUCCGGGCGUUUUCCGGAUUUAUUGGGUUUAAAGGGAGCGUAGGCCGCAUGUCAAGGGUGCUGUGAAAUGUCCGGGCUCAACCCGGGGCUUGCAGCGCGAAGGGGAGUGAUUGAGUGCGCGGAAGGCAGGCGGAAGUCGUGGUG